CUCAAAAAUGCAAAAUUGACUGGUCUGAUGGACACAGGAUGGCCGAGCAGUGAUAGUUGUACAUUUCCAUCACUCGUUGUGUUGAUUUCAUCAUGUCCAUUAGGUGAUGUUUUUUCACUAUAGAAUCAUAUUGCAAAUGCACGUGCAUUGUUGUGCAACUGGUAACCCAAAAAUAAAAAUAUGGUUGUAAAUGCAUUUACCCGGUCAUUCUGAUAUUAAUGCUCGCUAUGGGAACACAGGAUGGCCGGGCAGUGAUAGUUGUACAUUUCCAUCACUCGUUGUGUUGAUUUCAUCAUGUCCAUUAGGUGAUGUUUUUACACUAUAGAAUCAUAUUGCAAGUGCGCGCGCAUUUGCAAUAUGUUUCAAUGUGCAUUUACCAUAUGAAAUUUGACAUGCUCAAAAAUGCAAAAUUGACUGGUCUGAUGGACACAGGAUGGCCGAGCAGUGAUAGUUGUACAUUUCCAUCACUCGUUGUGUUGAUUUCAUCAUGUCCAUUAGGUGAUGUUUUUUCACUAUAGAAUCAUAUUGCAAAUGCACGUGCAUUGUUGUGCAACUGGUAACCCAAAAAUAAAAAAUAUGGUUGUAAAUGCAUUUACCGGUCAUUCUGAUAUUAAUGCUCGCUAUGGGAACACAGGAUGGCCGGGCAGUGAUAGUUGUACAUUUCA
Molecule: long non-coding RNA, 665 nt
Organism: Oncorhynchus keta (chum salmon)
Lineage: Eukaryota; Metazoa; Chordata; Actinopteri; Salmoniformes; Salmonidae
Exons: 2
Source: RefSeq, a predicted model, not a curated record